GAUGAACGCUAGCGGCAGGCUUAAUACAUGCAAGUUGAGGGGCAGCAUGAUAUACGCGAGUAUAUUGAUGGCGACCGGCGGACGGGUGAGUAAUAGGUAGGAGACCUACCUCAUACAGGGGGAUAGCAUAGAGAAAUCUGUGGUAAUACCCCAUGAGGUUAUAUGAAUAGAGGCAUAUAAUCAAAGCAUAAGCGAUUAUGCGGUAUGAGAGGGGCCUACUGACCAUUAGCUAGUUGGUGAGGUAAGGGCUCACCAAGGCGAAGAUGGUUAGGGGUUUUGAGAGAGAGACCCCCCACAUUGGAACUGAGAGACGGUCCAGACUCCUACGGGAGGCAGCAGUAGGGAAUAUUGGGCAAUGGGCGAAAGCCUGACCCAGCCAUGCCGCGUAGAAGGAAGACGGCCUUAUGGGGUUGUAAACUUUCGUUUAACUACGACGAAUAGAGGUUAGUACGAGGAUACGUAAUAGGAAGUAGUGUAGUAAAAGCACGGCUAACUCCGUG
Molecule: ribosomal RNA, 500 nt
Filed under: uncultured bacterium
Lineage: Bacteria
Description: bacterial SSU rRNA
Rfam family: Bacterial small subunit ribosomal RNA
Source: RNAcentral